GGCGAGGCGGCCAUUGGGUGGGCCUGCGUCCUGCGCUGUGGAUGUGUGUCUCCCGCACGGCCUCUUGGAGCUGCCUCUGUCCCUGUGUGAUCUUGGGUUGGGUGAGGAGGAGGCUGCCGAGGGUUAGUCAUCCUGAGAGGGCAAAAGGCCUUCAACUCUUCAACUUUCGGCUUUGGAGGUGUCCUUGUGGACUCAGGAGUUUUCACACCUUCGUUACAGAGAAUUCAAGGAGGCAUCCAGAGGACGCUGCACACCCAAGCUGCUGUUCCUCCCUGACUGCGCAACCUGGAGAAAUCCAGAUCAAGGCUGACGUCUACUUGAUCCACUCAGAUUUUAAAAUGGUUCCAGCUGGGUGUGGUGGUACAUGCCUGUAAUCCGAACAUUCUGGGAGGCUGAGGCAGGAGAGUUAGCAGGUUUGAACCAGCCUGGGUGACUUAGCAACUUAGCAAGAUCCUGCCUCAAAAUAAAAAAGGCCUGGGGAUGUAGCUCACUGUGAAUCCUCUGAGUUCAAUGCCCAGUACCAAAAAAAAAAAUCCAACCCACAAAACCAUAAAAAAAAAUUUUUGUCUUAGUGCAAAAAAUCAAUCUUGCGUUUUCUCCCACGUAAGUGAUUUAGAAAGCGACAAAAGGGCAGAGCCCAUUUCACAUGGGUCUUGGCGUGUGCCACGGUCUCGCCACCAUGGUUUUUUACACCUUCCAAGAGCACAGGCCCUGUCUGCUUCGUCCUUGUGCCACCAGAGCUGAGGACAGUGCCUGCCAGACCUAUCAGGUGCCCCGCAUACUUGUGGUGGGUGAGAACAUGAACUUGUCGGUCAAAAGCCCACCAGUGGCUGUCUAGGGUUCUUAUUUUUAGGGAAAAAGUGUGCUCCUAACAGUGAUAAUGAUCACAACUCCAAAGUGGGAAAUAAAAUACGUUGACAGUGGCGCGGUGCCUUAGGCCAGCCCUGUGGUUUGUUCAGAGCUUGGUCUUCUGCAGAACGUCUUACUAAUAAGUGAUCUAUUUCCUGCAGAGCUUUCAGCUUCUAUAAGCAAAUUUCUUUUUAGGUAAAAGGUCAGAAAAUUUUUUUUCAGUUGGUUACAUCGACAAAAGAGAUUCACAAAGCCUAAGAAAGUUAUAGACCUCAAACCACGUGUGUGCUUUAGCUUGCGAUACAGUGCACACUCUCAUCCGUGGUCCUACUAAUCUGUGACUGUGAUGCCUCCUAUCUGCAAGUAAACCAGCGUGAGGAAACACGCACGUACACCUGUGCAAAUAAAAUACUCUCUUGUGUCAGCUGACGGGCACCGUCAGCCAGCUCAUCAUCAGCCUCUUUUGGAAUCUACCCCACACCCCUCCUCCGUACACACAGAAGUCAUGCAAGUCAAUGGCUUUCCUCGCAGGCGAGCCCUUAGAAGGCUUCGAAGAGCCUCACGUCCUAGUGACUGAGCCACUCUGCCGCUUCAAAGGCUUUUAGGAAGAAGGCCAGGCCGAGGCGGCUGGCUGCCGGCUCAGAAAGUGCAAACCAACCUAACAGCCCGUGGUGGCUUCCUGAGCUUUAGCAUUUUAACCAUUAUUCUCGAUUUUACUCAUGACCUAGCCCCUCUUUUAACAUUAAAAAUAAAUCCUUCCCUGAACUUUUGCCCUCUGAAGUUUUGAUCUCUGAUCUUGCUUGAACUUUUGCCCUCUGACGUUUUUCCCCCUUUCGUUUUGCCUCUUGCAUUCUCUGAGUAAGGAGGGCAGCCACAGUACUGAUAUUAGGCAGCGCGCAGUAAGGGCCACUCCCAGGCCCUGUCUGGCUUCCUGGAAGCCCUCGCCACCUCCUGCACGCUCAGAGGAGGCCAAGUCCUGGGCCCCCCACUAAACCGGGGCCCUCUUUUUCCCACACCUGCUAAAAAUAAUCCCUAAUGAAAGACCCACAGGAAAUUUCCCCAGGUGAGUCAGGCGGCAAUGUAUUAGCAACGGACUGGGCCGCUGGUCCAGGGGAAGACUUAGAGAAUUUCUCCUAGCAGUAAAAGAAAGCGAUUUUUAAAAUUACAGUGGGAAAAGAUAGAAAUGCUUCCCACAUAGCUUAACCACAUGGUACCAACUGCAGUGACCCCUCGGGCUGCUCUGCCCUCCCUGAAGCACUUCAGGACAAAUCACCCUUUGUGUUAUCGCUCUGCUAGCACUGCCCCAGAUAAAAAUCACAAGCGAGGAAUGACACCAACCUCAGCGAAGCUUUUAAUGGGACCACACUGCAGCCUAAAGGGUCCCUAGGGUCAAUUGUUCCAUCCCCUCUCCUUAGAUCCCAAACUCUGCAGCUCUUACAGAAAACACUGGUGUAUCUGCAUAUAACUCAUCCACGUCCUCCUGGGUACUUCAACUCCUCUCCGGAUUGUAAUAUCUGAUACAAUGUAAUUGCUCUGGAAAUAGUUUUUAUACUGUAGUUUUGGUUUAGCAGGGUGGUUUUGGUCUUUUUGAGACAGGGCCUCGCUAUGCAGUUCAGGCUGGUCUUGAACUCACUUUGUAGCCCAGGCUGGUCUUGAACUCACAUCGAUCCUCCUGCCUCAGCCUCCUAAGUGCUGGGAUUACAGGCAUGAGCCACCAUGCCCGGCUAUACUGUAGUUUAGACAAUAAUGGCAAGGAACGUAUCUGCAUGUGUUCACUGUAGACACAGUUUCUAAAAUUCUUUCCUAUCAUCUUGUUUGGUGAAACUCUGUAUCGUUUAUAAUUUUUUUGUUUCUAUUUUUUAUUCUCUUUAAUGGUUUGAUUAAUCUUGCAUCCUUACAUCUGGUAAUCUGACCAACUUCGAUGAAAGUAAAACUAUGUAAUGUAACACCCACUGUUAAUCCCUAUCAAUUUGUUCUGAAACCCCCGUGUCAUUCUUACUGUUUUUGCUUUGUUUUGUUUUUGCCUGUGUUGUUGGCAUUUUGCUAUUAUUCUUUUUUAAAUUCUCUUUAAAGUAAAAAAUAAUAAUAAAAUUCUUU
RNAcentral lists this long non-coding RNA (2946 nucleotides) under Chinchilla lanigera (long-tailed chinchilla). RNAcentral describes it as "lncRNA (ENSCLAG00000027957.1)". The record is from RNAcentral. Lineage: Eukaryota; Metazoa; Chordata; Mammalia; Rodentia; Chinchillidae.